Molecule: ribosomal RNA, 498 nt
Filed under: uncultured bacterium
Lineage: Bacteria
Description: partial 16S ribosomal RNA
Rfam family: Bacterial small subunit ribosomal RNA
Source: RNAcentral
AUUGAACGCUGGCGGCAUGCCUUACACAUGCAAGUAGAACGGUAACAGGUCUUCGGAUGCUGACGAGUGGCGAACGGGUGAGUAAUACAUCGGAACGUGCCUAGUAGUGGGGGAUAACUACUCGAAAGAGUGGCUAAUACCGCAUGAGAUCUACGGAUGAAAGCAGGGGAUCGCAAGACCUUGAGCUACUAGAGCGGCCGAUGGCAGAUUAGGUAGUUGGUGGGAUAAAAGCUUACCAAGCCGACGAUCUGUAGCUGGUCUGAGAGGACGAUCAGCCACACUGGGACUGAGAAACGGCCCAGACUCCUACGGGAGGCAGCAGUGGGGAAUUUUGGACAAUGGGCGCAAGCCUGAUCCAGCAAUGCCGCGUGCAGGAUGAAGGCCUUCGGGUUGUAAACUGCUUUUGUACGGAACGAAAAGCCCCGGGUUAAUACCCUGGGGUCAUGACGGUACCGUAAGAAUAAGCACCGGCUAACUACGUGCCAGCCGCCGCCGUAA